Molecule: long non-coding RNA, 321 nt
Filed under: Calidris pygmaea (Spoon-billed sandpiper)
Lineage: Eukaryota; Metazoa; Chordata; Aves; Charadriiformes; Scolopacidae
Description: lncRNA (ENSCPGG00000004595.1)
Source: RNAcentral
AUGUUUGAAAGCAGAGGUGUCAUUUGGUCUCUGUUUCUCAUAAAAUCUGACACAAGCAGCUGCACCAGACUCCUGAUGAGCUCUCCCAAGGAGCCAGACAUUCAUCAGUGGUUACAUCAGCCUUUGCAGCACCAGCGAGAUGGACUCUGUAAGCUGUGUCUAUCCUUCAGGGUCUUCUUCUGCACCCUACAGAUAAUGACCUUGAUUCAAAAUUAUACUGUCUAUCUCCAAAUGAAUGGAUCAGUCUUCGAAGAAAUCCAUCCCACUUCUUUACCAGGACAAAUGCUGGAUAAAUCCGAGAGAAGUACAUGGCAUGGAUGA